Molecule: long non-coding RNA, 1833 nt
Organism: Rhincodon typus (whale shark)
Lineage: Eukaryota; Metazoa; Chordata; Chondrichthyes; Orectolobiformes; Rhincodontidae
Exons: 3
Source: RefSeq, a predicted model, not a curated record
UCACCCAGACGGUAAAAAAAAUUGGGGGGUGGGUGCUUUGAAACGUUGAACUUUCGCAUUUCCUUUCUCAUUGGUCUUAAUUCACAGCCUUUCCUCAGACAGACAGGGUCAGCGGCACACUGCUUUGUAAAGACUUGAUAUCAGGACACUGUCCAGGACACCAUGUUAGAGAUCUCAGCCUCUUCGUUACAACUGACAGGUUUCUGCCCCUCAGCUCAAUUCCUCACUAAAAUGGAGGUACACACUUGGCCCAGAAUCUCCCAUUGGGAAAGGUUAUGACCAGACUCGGGGGUUCAUCCAGGUGACUUUGUGCUGCACUCCUUUCCAGGGUCCUUCCUGAGAUUGCCAGGCCCAGAACUGAGUUCAGUUACUACAGACGGAUGAAGACUGUGUUGAACUGAAAGAUCAUUUCCACCUGUUUGUAUUCCAGUCCCUUUAGAUUCAGAGGGAAGCGGCUCUCCACAUAAAGGGUUGUGAGAAUCUAUAACUCCCUUGUCCUGACACACAAAACAGUGGCAGCAUUAACGUUUGCAAUAGAGGCUGUCAUAUAGCCUCCUCUACAUCAGUGAGACCAGGGGGAGGCUUGGAGAUCGCUUUGUAGAGCACCUGCGCUCUGUCCGUGACAACACCUUCCGGUCGUGAACCACUCCCACUCCCACUCCCACUCCCACGGUGACAUGUCCAUCCUGGGCCUCCUCCAGUGUCACAACGACACCACCCGCAAACUGGAGGAGCAGCACCUCAUAUUCCACCUUGGGAGCCUACAGCCCAAUGGCCUAAACGUGGACUUCACCAGUUUCAAAAUCUCCCCAUGACCAACUCUCCCUCUCAUCCCCGCCUCCUUGACCUGCCUACCUGCACUCACCUAUCACCAUCCCACCUACCUCCCCCAGCCCCACCCCUCCUCUCUCUAUUUAUUUCACAGCUCCCUUCUCCCUCCUCCUUUUCUGAAGAAGGGUCCUGACCCAAAAAGUCAGCUUUCCUGCUCCUCUGAUGCUGCCUGGCCUGCUGUGUUCCUCCAGCUCCACACUGUGUUAUCUCUGACUCCAGCAUCAGCAGUUCUUACUAUCUCUGAUUAAAGUUUGCUAUUGUGGAGUAACAGCAUUUCAAUAGGGAGUAAAGGCAUUGGAAUGCAUUUAAACCAACCAUCCCUUUGAGGGGUUCCUGCAUAUGCUGUUGGCAUACGUGUAUUCUUACAGAUGUGACUCUCCAUCAUGGGAGCUGAUGCUGGGAUGGCUGCUGCAUUACUGCAUUUGAGAUGAGCUAAAAAUAAUGAUUUACAACAGCAAUGUCCAAAAAGAUCAGAACAAGAUUUAAUGGAUGGUGAGACAGUCUCAGCAGGAGACUGGAUUGCAACUCGAAACCAGAUGAUGUCAGGAGGAAAUGGGAUCAAUAGAAAUCAAUCUUAAUAAAGAAUAACAGAAAGUAGUGUAUGCACAUCAUGUGAAAGAUCCUUAAUAACAAACACUUGGAGCACUUUGGUGGAGACUGGAGGAUGCAAAGAGACUGUCUGCUGAGUCAUCAGAGAGCAGGAAUCUGUGUGCUAAUUAUUGUAAUGUGAACAAUCAAUAAUUAAUCAGUGAGAACAUAACCAAUCAUUACAGCAUUAGCUGUAGCUCCACGGGAAGGAAUCUUACUUCACAGAAAGCUGUGAAUUUACACACUAGCAAAAUGGGAGCAUUAACAUAGUCUCAGUGCAACACUGAGGGGGUGCCACACAAUCAGAGAACCAGUACUCAGAGAAUGACGCACUAUUGGAGGGUCAGUGCUGAGGGAGUGCCACGCUGUCGGAGGGUCAGUGCUGAGAGAGUGCCGCACUGUUGGAGGGUCAGU